ACGUAGGGGGCGAGCGUUAUCCGGAAUUAUUGGGCGUAAAGAGUGCGUAGGUGGUCUUGUAAGCGGGGGGUGAAAGCCAUCGGCUUAACCGAUGUUAGCCCCUGGAACUGUGAGGCUUGAGUACAGGAGAGGAAGGCGGAAUUCCUGGUGUAGGGGUGAAAUGCGUAGAUAUUAGGAGGAACACCAGUGGCGAAGGCGGCUUUCUGGACUGAAACUGACGCUGAGGCGCGAAAGCGUGGGGAGCAAACAG
RNAcentral lists this ribosomal RNA (250 nucleotides) under uncultured prokaryote. RNAcentral's name for it is "partial 16S rRNA". It matches the Rfam family "Bacterial small subunit ribosomal RNA", at positions 525 to 775 of the family's 1533-position model. The record is from RNAcentral.